Molecule: long non-coding RNA, 514 nt
Organism: Aquila chrysaetos chrysaetos
Lineage: Eukaryota; Metazoa; Chordata; Aves; Accipitriformes; Accipitridae
Exons: 6
Source: RefSeq, a predicted model, not a curated record
GCUGUUCCCUGGAUGCUCUGGUGCUCCUUGAAGAUGUGACAACAUUGUGUCUUGAGCUUCGUUACCAGAACAAAUGGAAUACCUAAUGGAUAGCGUGCAUACCCUAAAGGCCUUGGUUUCUCAUUGCAUGGAAGUACAAAGCAGCAGUUUCCAAGCCGAUGAGAUAAUGCCACAGUAAAGAGGUAGCUCCAAUUCUACUUUUUCAAAAUCUUUUCUAUUAUCUUAUCUUAUUUCUCCUCAUAUUCACCAUUGCCACUCUUCGAGCUAAUGAAGUAUUUUUUCUUCAGCAACUCACUUGAAGUCCCCUAUGUAGAAGUUAUCCUCAUAGAGACCUGAAGUUCCUGAUCAGACAAUACAAAGAAAAUGAGCAGUAAUAUCACAAAAGAGAGGUUAAUAUUUCUUAGAAUGUUUGAAGCUGUAAUAAGACAUCCAGAGCAACAAAUGGGCAUUAUAUCCGUGAAGUAACUGGGUAUGAACCAGUCCAAGGCAGAAAGAGCUGGGCAGAAUUUCCCAA